CGCUCUUGGGCGCCAGGCCUACACAUGCAAGUCGAGCGGAUGAAAGGAGCUUGCUCCUGGAUUCAGCGGCGGACGGGUGAGUAAUGCCUAGGAAUCUGCCUGGUAGUGGGGGACAACGUUUCGAAAGGAACGCUAAUACCGCAUACGUCCUACGGGAGAAAGCAGGGGACCUUCGGGCCUUGCGCUAUCAGAUGAGCCUAGGUCGGAUUAGCUAGUUGGUGAGGUAAUGGCUCACCAAGGCGACGAUCCGUAACUGGUCUGAGAGGAUGAUCAGUCACACUGGAACUGAGACACGGUCCAGACUCCUACGGGAGGCAGCAGUGGGGAAUAUUGGACAAUGGGCGAAAGCCUGAUCCAGCCAUGCCGCGUGUGUGAAGAAGGUCUUCGGAUUGUAAAGCACUUUAAGUUGGGAGGAAGGGCAGUAAAUUAAUACUUUGCUGUUUUGACGUUACCGACAGAAUAAGCACCGGCUAACUCUGUG
Molecule: ribosomal RNA, 481 nt
Filed under: Pseudomonas sp. LS53
Lineage: Bacteria; Pseudomonadati; Pseudomonadota; Gammaproteobacteria; Pseudomonadales; Pseudomonadaceae
Description: bacterial SSU rRNA
Rfam family: Bacterial small subunit ribosomal RNA
Source: RNAcentral